GAUGAAGAACGUAGCGAAAUGCGAUAAGUAGUGUGAAUUGCAGAAUUCAGUGAAUCAUCGAAUCUUUGAACGCACAUUGCGCCCCUUGGUAUUCCAUGGGGCAUGCCUGUUCGAGCGUCAUUUGUACCUUCAAGCUUUGCUUGGUGUUGGGUGUUUGUCUCGCCUUUGCGUGUAGACUCGCCUUAAAAUAAUUGGCAGCCGGCGUAUUGAUUUCGGAGCGCAGUACAUCUCGCGCUUUGCACUCAUAAUGACAGCGUCCAAAAGUACAUUUUACACUCUUGACCUCGGAUCAGGUAGGGAUACCCGCUGAACUUAAGCAUAUCAAUAAGCGGAGGA
This 336-nucleotide unclassified non-coding RNA is filed under the name soil metagenome. Its description in RNAcentral is "partial contains 5.8S ribosomal RNA, internal transcribed spacer 2, and large subunit ribosomal RNA". The stretch from base 1 to 120 matches the Rfam family "5.8S ribosomal RNA", at positions 35 to 154 of the family's 154-position model. The record is from RNAcentral.